UUUUUUUUUUUGACUAACAGCCAAUCAUCGUUAUACAGCUGAACUCUUUGUUUAGCUCUUCCUAGAUGAAUCUGGAAACGGUUUGUGCUCUUCAGAGGCGUUUCUGACCACUAGAAACUUCCAUAGAACUUUCCACAGAGCUUUGUCAAAGGUAUCCAGCACACAUGAACAGAAGUUUCUGAUGUAUGCAUGUCUUACAAUGGAGUACCAUGGAUGGAGUUGGUUCUGUAAUCUUUUAAAACCACCUCAACUCUCAUACUUACCUUGGAUCAGCCAUCCCACCUUGAGGAUUUUAGAGGAUAUUUUCAAAGUGUCUUCUCUUUAUCACCACCCAAUGGAAAAUGUACUAACGGAGAAAGAGAGAGAGGCUGUUGUGGAUGUUCAUGCUGGCAGCGCGGAUCGUGGCAUCUGUUGAUGAAGAAACAGCAUACUGCUCUUCAGCAUGCCUAAGUCAGGUUUCUUCUUUUCUCCUUCCCAAAACAAAUUUUGAUAUCUUUGAGUGUUGUGAUCUGUUAUUCUUUCCUUUAAAUUAGUUGUGAUAUAUACCUUUAAGCCUAAAUUACAAAUAUUAAGGUGAUCUUUGCAAGGUGACUUCUAAACAUGGAAACAUAUAUAAAAAAAAUAAAAAAUGUUGUAGUGUAUUUUGAUUCAUUUUGAGUAAUAUACAGUAUGUGCACAUUGUUUAUUUUUUAUAUCUAUUGUAUUAUAUUGCCAGUCUAUAAUUGUUUUGAAUGUUGUAGUUAUUUUAAUGUUUCAUAUGGACAGUCUAAUGUAAAGUGUUAAUUAUGGAUGUUAAUUGCACAAAUAAAGAGUC
Molecule: long non-coding RNA, 814 nt
Organism: Carassius auratus (goldfish)
Lineage: Eukaryota; Metazoa; Chordata; Actinopteri; Cypriniformes; Cyprinidae
Exons: 4
Source: RefSeq, a predicted model, not a curated record